Molecule: ribosomal RNA, 353 nt
Filed under: Heliobolus bivari (Bivar's bushveld lizard)
Lineage: Eukaryota; Metazoa; Chordata; Lepidosauria; Squamata; Lacertidae
Description: partial large subunit ribosomal RNA
Rfam family: Archaeal large subunit ribosomal RNA
Source: RNAcentral
AGCAUAAUCACUUGUCUCCUAAAUAGGGACUAGAAUGAAUGGCUAAAUGAGGACAGAACUGUCUCUUACACUUAACCAAUGAAACUGAUCUUUCAGUACAAAAGCUGAAAUAAACCCAUAAGACGAGAAGACCCUGUGGAGCUUUUAGAUCAACAUCACCAUUAUGUUUUACCUGAUCUUCAGUUGGGGCAACUUCGGAGUAUAAUAAACCCUCCGACAAAAUAAUCGUUAAUAAGAUUAAACAAAUCAAAUUUAAACUAACCUGACCCAGUAAUAAUUUAAUUAUCUGAUCAACGGACCAAGUUACCCCAGGGAUAACANCNCUAUCCCCUUUUAGAGUCCCNAUCGACAGG